This 100-nucleotide signal recognition particle RNA is filed under the name Acidobacteriota bacterium. RNAcentral's name for it is "Acidobacteria bacterium signal recognition particle sRNA small type". It matches the Rfam family "Bacterial small signal recognition particle RNA". Rfam says of the family: The signal recognition particle (SRP) is a universally conserved ribonucleoprotein involved in the co-translational targeting of proteins to membranes. Archaeal SRP consists of a 7S RNA and homologues of the eukaryotic SRP19 and SRP54 proteins. The record is from RNAcentral. Lineage: Bacteria; Pseudomonadati; Acidobacteriota.
GCCCAAGCCCUGUGCACUGCGGUCUCGUGAAUUCCGCCAGGCCCGGAAGGGAGCAACGGUAAGCGAAUCGCCGCAGGUGCCGCAGGUUCACUUGGGUCCC